ACCACGGUAGGAUUCGUGACUGGGGUGAAGUCGUAACAAGGUAGCCGUAUCGGAAGGUGCGGCUGGAUCACCUCCUUU
This 78-nucleotide ribosomal RNA is filed under the name Massilia antarctica. Its description in RNAcentral is "partial 16S ribosomal RNA". It matches the Rfam family "Bacterial small subunit ribosomal RNA", at positions 1456 to 1533 of the family's 1533-position model. Lineage: Bacteria; Pseudomonadati; Pseudomonadota; Betaproteobacteria; Burkholderiales; Oxalobacteraceae. RNAcentral also lists the same sequence under 1 other name. The record is from RNAcentral.